RNAcentral lists this long non-coding RNA (433 nucleotides) under Mytilus galloprovincialis (Mediterranean mussel). Lineage: Eukaryota; Metazoa; Mollusca; Bivalvia; Mytilida; Mytilidae. The record is from RNAcentral.
AUCUGUUUGAACUGUAAUGACAUGGUCAGUCAACUGAUUUGUUGCAAAGCUGAUUACAGGUAAUUAUAACAUACAGUAAUUUUCCAUUACGACAGUGCGUGUACUCUCCGGUGUGUAUAACGUAAAGUUUUCUAGAGAACAUCCUGUCUACGUGUAAUACAGAUUGAUGGCAUUACACACAAUUUCUUUUGUUAAAUGUGCUUAGGUAUCUGUGUCUAUUCCCUAUUUAAACACCACAAAUUUUUCGAAGAAAUUAAUAAAAAAAAUCAAUUAUAUGAAAUAAAGAAGAAAAGUAGCAAAUAUCAACUUCAGUAACUAGUAACUGCGCAUUGAGUAAACAUAAUUUCAAUAUUGCAUGAACCAACAAAUGGAAGUUUUUAACGAAUACAGCCCUUGCACGGUCGGUAAUGAAUCAACCCUUGACAAAACGUAU